Molecule: long non-coding RNA, 1145 nt
Organism: Pteropus alecto (black flying fox)
Lineage: Eukaryota; Metazoa; Chordata; Mammalia; Chiroptera; Pteropodidae
Exons: 3
Source: RefSeq, a predicted model, not a curated record
GGGUAAUAAUAAAAUCCCCAGCUAGUGAAAUAUGUGCACUGCCUCCUUCACUCACUGUCUCCUGUUUAAAGAGGAACGUACAGAGCAAAGGGACCCACAAAUUGCAUCAACCUAGCACCAGGGAUAGGACAAAAAACGGUGUUCUUUACUGUCCCGUAGCACUCUAGUAUGAAUUCAGCCCUAGUUUUGAAGAGCGACGCCCAUUGGGACUGAGAAACUGGUCGACAGAGCCCUUAGCCCUCAGUCACCAAGAAAUGGGGACUAGUGUGGGGGGCGUGGAAAGGCUGAGGGGGACGGCCUCCUCUAUAUUGCUGCGGGACAGAGCUGGCCUCCCUACGCUGGUACGCCCCCCGAGGGUUGAUAGAGACCUCGUCACUACUUUUUGGAUCUGAACAGGACAGACUUUGACUUCUGAAUCCGGGCCCAGGGUGAAGGCAGUGCAGCAGGUGAUGGUGCUGGCUCUCGAUGAGUGAAGUGGCCUUGCCCAUGUGCCCCUCUUCCGGAGUGCCCUGGUAAGAAAAGAAGAGAGACUGAGCAUGGAGCGGGUGGCUCUUCCUCUCUCCAUCCCUGUCACGUCUCCACGGAAGGUAGGCGUUGGAGCUGCCGGUUUUGGCCACGCGGAUCCUGGCAAGGCGGGCCUUCUGUGAUGGGCAGAGAAAAUCAAAGAGUGAGGUCUAAAGACAGCAAGCCUGGAGAAGUCGAUGCCAGUGGGCUCUCCCAGAGAGGCUGGGCGCGCAGGUGAUGUUCGACGCAGGGGAGGAAGCUGCUCGCUCCCAGCCCCGCCCGUCUCUGCUUAUAAACCCUGGGACCGGGCCUGAGAUGCUGUGUACCCGCCUUGUGCCACUCGGUCACCGGCAGAGUUCCUGGGUUUCCCAUGCAUCUCUCCAGCCGGGUGUCAUCCUGGCAGGAGAAAUACCACUUACCAAAGUCCUUCCUUCCAGACGUUUCAUGACCUUCAUCUGCUCACUGUCGUGUCGGUGUAUUUCUCAUCUCUAACUAGGCAGUGAGCUCUUUCAAGGAGCGAGGGUCACAGCUCUCCUGACUCUCUCCCAGGGUCCAGGGCUCUUCCCUGCGUACAGCAGGUGCCCAAACAUCGAUUAAUUAUGAGCGAAGCACGGAGUUCACGUGUGCCCCUCAAUACUUAA